GGUAACCUACCCAUCAGAGGGGGAUAACACUUGGAAACAGGUGCUAAUACCGCAUAACAGUUUAUGCCGCAUGGCAUAAGAGUGAAAGGCGCUUUCGGGUGUCGCUGAUGGAUGGACCCGCGGUGCAUUAGCUAGUUGGUGAGGUAACGGCUCACCAAGGCCACGAUGCAUAGCCGACCUGAGAGGGUGAUCGGCCACACUGGGACUGAGACACGGCCCAGACUCCUACGGGAGGCAGCAGUAGGGAAUCUUCGGCAAUGGACGAAAGUCUGACCGAGCAACGCCGCGUGAGUGAAGAAGGUUUUCGGAUCGUAAAACUCUGUUGUUAGAGAAGAACAAGGACGUUAGUAACUGAACGUCCCCUGACGGUAUCUAACCAGAAAGCCACGGCUAACUACGUGCCAGCCGCCGCGGUAA
Molecule: ribosomal RNA, 417 nt
Filed under: uncultured Enterococcaceae bacterium
Lineage: Bacteria; Bacillati; Bacillota; Bacilli; Lactobacillales; Enterococcaceae
Description: bacterial SSU rRNA
Rfam family: Bacterial small subunit ribosomal RNA
Source: RNAcentral